CCAAGGAGUCUAACAUGUGCGCGAGUCACUCGGUCUUGAAUAGGCCAGAGAGGCGCAAUGAAAGUAAAGUUGAUUGAGUUACGAUCCUCAUUUAGUUAUCCGAAAUUUAUUUCUGGUUAACGGUGAGGCGCAGUAACAGCCCGCCAAUUUCGCCUAUUGACGAUCUGGCGGCGUUGUAGCGUACACGUUGGUACCCGAAAGAUGGUGAACUAUGCCUGGGCAAGACGAAGCCAGAGGAAACUCUGGUGGAGGUCUGUAGCGAUUCUGACGUGCAAAUCGAUCGUCAGACCUGGGUAUAGGGGCGAAAGACUAAUCGAACCAUC
Molecule: ribosomal RNA, 323 nt
Filed under: Cymbaeremaeus cymba
Lineage: Eukaryota; Metazoa; Arthropoda; Arachnida; Sarcoptiformes; Cymbaeremaeidae
Description: partial 28S ribosomal RNA
Rfam family: Eukaryotic large subunit ribosomal RNA
Source: RNAcentral